ACUCUACAAAAUGAAAGUUAAGAGGUAAGUAUUUAAUACUCUGAAAAGAGAAAUUGUGAUAGAAGGAAGAAUAUCAUAUAAAUAUUUAACACCAUAUAAAAUAAAAUUGUUUAGCAACUCAUGGCAUUUUAAAUGAGGGUACAUUGGUAGAACCACAAACUUAUAAAAUUUAAAUAUUUCUUCAAAAUAAAUUGUUAAAAUGCAUAUUAGUAAAAUAAUGCAACAUAAUAUGGUUUUAAAUAACGGCCAUUAAAUACCGUAACAACCGCUAUUUAAAUGGAUUUUAGUUUGAUGUUACUGUUACCAGUAUUAUUUAAUGGAUUUUUAAAAAAUUGUAACUUUAAAGGCCGUUACGACUGUUAUAUAAAAGUAACAGCCGUUACCGACAGUUACUUUUACUUUUCCAACUGAGAAUCUUUG
This 420-nucleotide unclassified non-coding RNA is filed under the name Hevea brasiliensis (rubber tree). The record is from RNAcentral. Lineage: Eukaryota; Viridiplantae; Streptophyta; Magnoliopsida; Malpighiales; Euphorbiaceae.